This 867-nucleotide ribosomal RNA is filed under the name uncultured bacterium. RNAcentral describes it as "bacterial SSU rRNA". It matches the Rfam family "Bacterial small subunit ribosomal RNA", at positions 54 to 934 of the family's 1533-position model. The record is from RNAcentral.
CAUGCAAGUCGAACGAGCGAGAGAGAGCUUGCUUUCUCGAGCGAGUGGCGAACGGGUGAGUAACGCGUGAGGAACCUGCCUCAAAGAGGGGGACAACAGUUGGAAACGACUGCUAAUACCGCAUAAGCCCACGGUGCCGCAUGGCACAGAGGGAAAAGGAGCAAUCCGCUUUGAGAUGGCCUCGCGUCCGAUUAGCUAGUUGGUGAGGUAACGGCCCACCAAGGCGACGAUCGGUAGCCGGACUGAGAGGUUGAACGGCCACAUUGGGACUGAGACACGGCCCAGACUCCUACGGGAGGCAGCAGUGGGGAAUAUUGCACAAUGGGGGGAACCCUGAUGCAGCGACGCCGCGUGGAGGAAGAAGGUCUUCGGAUUGUAAACUCCUGUUGUUGGGGAAGAUAAUGACGGUACCCAACAAGGAAGUGACGGCUAACUACGUGCCAGCAGCCGCGGUAAAACGUAGGUCACAAGCGUUGUCCGGAAUUACUGGGUGUAAAGGGAGCGCAGGCGGGAAGACAAGUUGGAAGUGAAAUCUAUGGGCUCAACCCAUAAACUGCUUUCAAAACUGUUUUUCUUGAGUAGUGCAGAGGUAGGCGGAAUUCCCGGUGUAGCGGUGGAAUGCGUAGAUAUCGGGAGGAACACCAGUGGCGAAGGCGGCCUACUGGGCACCAACUGACGCUGAGGCUCGAAAGUGUGGGUAGCAAACAGGAUUAGAUACCCUGGUAGUCCACACCGUAAACGAUGAUUACUAGGUGUUGGAGGAUUGACCCCUUCAGUGCCGCAGUUAACACAAUAAGUAAUCCACCUGGGGAGUACGACCGCAAGGUUGAAACUCAAAGGAAUUGACGGGGGCCCGCACAAGCAGUG